Priapulus caudatus is the source of this 522-nucleotide long non-coding RNA. RefSeq lists it as uncharacterized. Lineage: Eukaryota; Metazoa; Priapulida; Priapulimorpha; Priapulimorphida; Priapulidae. The transcript has 3 exons. The record is from RefSeq and is a predicted model, not a curated record.
GUUCUCUGGCUCUCUGCUUCAUCACUUAUCGCAGAAUCCGUGAGUUGUCUCUGCGACCGCAUAUCUACUGUUGAAAUCAUAAUUAUUUGAAAUCAUCCUUCACCACUGGCUCAUUAGUCAGCCAACGUCCGCAGUGUCGCCGUCAUUGUAGAUCGGUUAGAAACGCUAAACAUCAAAUACUACAUAAAAAGGAGGCGAAGAGCAUGGGCGAACGUCGCAUCGACGUAAGCUGCUUGAUGUGGCUAUAUAAAGUAGUUGCAGGAUUACAGCGAGUAUUGUCCGAAAACAGAAAAAACAUUUUUCAACGUGAUGACACCAUUGACGCGACCGCCGUGAGACAGCGCAGAGAAUCUAGCUUUUAGACCUACGACACUGUCGAUGCCACGUUGGUCAUAAAAUUAUGCUAUGCAAUUCCAUGAAAAGCAUUGCCGCAUGAGGCCUAUACCCAGCCUGAUGAUUAUUACCGAUUGUAUUAAUUGGUCUUUAUAAGAUCCGUCUUAAUCGUUUUUUGUCCUAAAUCCU